AGAAACACAUAUAUAUCAUCUUCUUCCUCAAACUAACAUUUUUCAUUUUUCACUUCUCAACCUCAAGCUUCAAUCUCAUCCAUCAUUAAUCAUCUAGAUCAUCUCAUAAACUCAAAUCCAUCAUCAUAUAACUCAAGCCAAGUACAAGAAAAUAAACAACAAAAUUCGUAGGGUUUCAAGCUCUUAAUUUUCGAAAGUUUCAAAAAAUAAGUUGGGUGAUUUCCUUGCUCAAUCAUGAUCAUAUACUCACUCACAUAUCAUUAAUAUGAUCAAAUAAAUAAUCUAAGAUCACUUACUCAAGGAUUUAAAAGGUGAUCAAGACUUUGCUCCAACUUUGAUCUUAGCUCUAGCUUCUUGAAUUUGAUGAGAUAUGAUAGCAUUUGAUUGGAUUGGAUGGUGGAUUAUCUCAUAGUAGUGUUUGAUGAAGCUUCUCUAAGCUUUCUUCAAUGGACAUCAAUGGAGGAAAAGAGAGUAUAGAGAGAGAUUGAGUGAGAGCCGAGAGUGAAGUGUGAGGAAGAAAAUGAAGUGUGCUUUGUCUUGCUAAGUGUAAUAUUGAUAAGUGUAAUAUGGAAUGUAGUGGUGGGGAGGUAGGAGUAGUGGUGGGGGAAAAAGAGUGUAGUGGUGGAAGAGUAGGUGGAUGUGGAAGAGUAGGUGGAUAAAUUAGGUGGAGAAAUUAGGUGAAUAAAUAAAAUAUAAUAAAAUAAAGUCUUCCGGGUUGUAUUAUGAAAACUGUAAUAAUCGUUCAGGGUUUGCUUAAAUAAAAGCUCGUGAAAAUGCUUUGAAUGCUAAAUUAAAUAAAUAUGCGACGCACAUAAAUUUAAUAACUAAAUUUAUAAAUGUUUUUUUUUUAAAACACUUUUGUUGGAAUUAAAAUAAAUUCAUUUUCUUUAUAUCCGGCGUGAAUCAUCCUGACUUCUAAGUUCAAAA
This 927-nucleotide long non-coding RNA is filed under the name Salvia miltiorrhiza (redroot sage). Its description in RNAcentral is "long non-coding RNA (SMIL_LNC001424)". The record is from RNAcentral. Lineage: Eukaryota; Viridiplantae; Streptophyta; Magnoliopsida; Lamiales; Lamiaceae.